This 243-nucleotide long non-coding RNA is filed under the name Homo sapiens (human). Its description in RNAcentral is "HSALNT0190755". The record is from RNAcentral. Lineage: Eukaryota; Metazoa; Chordata; Mammalia; Primates; Hominidae.
AGAAAGAGAGCCAGCGAGAAAGAGCGAGCCCGACAGCGAGCGCAGGGAGCGACACCAUGCCCGGCUGGAAGAAGAAUAUCCCUAUCUGCUUGCAGGCAGAGGAGCAGGAGAGACUCAACUUGCCUCUGCUUCCUCCUGGGAACCUUUCCUGGCCCUUUAGCUAAGGAAGAAGAUUGCUGUCUGGUUUGAACUGGAAUUUCUCGCUAUGUCCCACUGGAGGUAUGUCAUAGUCUGCUCUUCUCA